This 253-nucleotide ribosomal RNA is filed under the name uncultured bacterium. RNAcentral's name for it is "partial 16S ribosomal RNA". It matches the Rfam family "Bacterial small subunit ribosomal RNA", at positions 524 to 776 of the family's 1533-position model. The record is from RNAcentral.
UACGGAGGGUGCAAGCGUUAUCCGGAUUCACUGGGCGUAAAGGGUGCGUAGGCGGGCAGGUAAGUCCGAGGUGAAAUCUCUGAGCUUAACUCAGAAACUGCCAUGGAUACUAUUUGUCUUGAAUAUUGUGGAGGUGAGCGGAAUAUGUCAUGUAGCGGUGAAAUGCUUAGAUAUGAAAUAGAACACCAAUUGCGAAGGCAGCUCACUACACAAUUAUUGACGCUGAGGCACGAAAGCGUGGGGAUCAAACAGG